RNAcentral lists this long non-coding RNA (1180 nucleotides) under Homo sapiens (human). Its description in RNAcentral is "non-protein coding lnc-DHRS7-1:8". The record is from RNAcentral. Lineage: Eukaryota; Metazoa; Chordata; Mammalia; Primates; Hominidae.
AGACGCCCGGCUUGUUUACAGGCCCCAGGCCUGCCCGCCGCCGCCGCCGCGCAGGCCCGCACCGCCCGCCAGCCCGCCGUCGGCCCGAGCGCCGCACUUACCCGGAGCAGCCGCAGGCGGGCAGGUCCCUGGUCGGCCGAGGCGGCGGCGGCGGCAGCCGGGGAGGGGGUCACCGCGGCGGCGACGGCGGCAGCCGGGGGAGGGGUCACCGCUGCAGCGGCGGGCCAGGUCAGGCUGGGGAAGGGGCGGAGGAGGGGAGGAGCCGGGCUGCGUCCGGGCCCCCGGCUGUCGGCGCCCUCGCGGCUCAGAUCAUCCGGGCGUUGGAGAGGGAGGCAGAGAGCGGGUCCCGGAGAAGGAGGAGGAAGAGCCGAGGACUCAUCGCUUUCGCGCCUCAGCUGUCUAGAGUCCCCCCACCCCCCCCUCCCCAACCACCCGUUCCGGAGCAACAGCCGCCUGAGGACCCGAAGCUGCGGGCCGGACGAGCGCCGAGACCACUGCUCUCUAGCUCCCGCGCGCGCUCCCGUCCCUAGCGCCGCCACCGCCGCCGCCGCCGCCUCUAGCGCGGCCCCGCGCAGGCGCGCUCACGACCGCGUCGCCCCUCCCCCACCCCUCCGCUCGCCCCGCCCCGCUGGCUCCGCCGCCGCUACAGCUGCGGCGCGGCGCGCAGCUACAGAGACCCGGAUGUCGUUGGGCAGGAACUGCGGUGAGGGCUGGCGGGCGGGGGAGGGGCCGCCACAGAUGACGUCACUGCCUUACCCAGCUUCUUUCUCUGCCGCUGCUGCUGCCGCCGCCUUUGCCUUACGGCCUGGAGCACCAGGCCGAAGCCGAAGGGAGCGUCCGGAUCCCGGAUAGCAGCCAGGACCCGGGCCUUCACGUUCCGGCGCCAGGGACUGGACAGAAUGUGCGGCUAUUAGGUGCCCAGUAGAUCGACAGCCCCUCCGUGCCGGCCCUUGGCCAAGUAGGGACUCGGAAGCUACCCCUACGGCGUCCGCGCCCGGAGCCCUGGCUCUUCUACCUGCCUGCAGAUACAAACCCCACUCCCUGCGAAGAUGGUGUACACGCAGCCCCGAGCACAGACCCGAAGCUGUCCACCCUUCUUGGGCGCCGUCGCGGUCUGGCCGCUGCCCUUCGAACCCAUGGCUUCCACACCUUUCUUCUCUCUGUUCUGCACUUGGAGAAU